GUAUAUUCAUACUUCUGAUGAGGUUGAUAGUCAGAACAGCUUGACUCUCCCUGCUUGGUUUAAAAAUAAUCAGCAACCAAAAAUGUGUCCCUUAACAGUGAGUUUUGGAAUUAACAAAUCAAGUGAACUAUCUGCCCUACUUGGUGCUAAAUGGAUUUUCAGAGCUGUCUGUCUUAAAUAUCCUUGCUCUCCAGAGGUGAAGGCACAAAACAGUGAGAAGAGGCCUCAUUCUGCAAUCCCAGCUUGCUUGGGUCAAUCUUGUUUAUUUGAACGUGUUUGAUUCAGGAACACUGAUGAUGAUGGGGGAGGUGCUUGCACUAACCAACUGCUGUACAGUAUCUUUUUACUUUUUUUUGGUAAUAUGAUCUAAGACUAUCCUAAAGUGAGCAUCAAACACUGCAGCAUGUUUUUUCCUUCCUCAUUGCUGCAUGUAUCUACAACUGCUUCUGCAGUGUUAGGUAAAUCUGUUGUCCUGGCAG
RNAcentral lists this long non-coding RNA (479 nucleotides) under Gallus gallus (chicken). RNAcentral's name for it is "lncRNA (ENSGALG00010026126.1)". Lineage: Eukaryota; Metazoa; Chordata; Aves; Galliformes; Phasianidae. The record is from RNAcentral.